GAUGAACGCUAGCGGCAGGCUUAACACAUGCAAGUCGAGGGGCAGCGCGGGAUAGCCCUAUCCUGGCGGCGACCGGCGGAAGGGUGCGUAACGCGUGAGCGACAUGCCCGUUGCCCGGGGACAACCGGUGGAAACGCCGACUAAUCCCCGAUGGGAUAUUGUGCCGCAUGGCACGAUAUUGAAAGUUACGGCGGCGACGGAUUGGCUCGCGUCCGAUUAGCUGGUUGGCGGGGUAACGGCCCACCAAGGCUGCGAUCGGUAGGGGUUCUGAGAGGAAGGCCCCCCACAAUGGGACUGAGACACGGCCCAUACUCCUACGGGAGGCAGCAGUGAGGAAGAUUGGUCAAUGGGCGGAAGCCUGAACCAGCCAUGCCGCGUGCGGGAAGGAGGCCCUAUGGGCUGUGAACCGCUUUUGCCUGGGGGCAAUAAGGGCGUCGCGCACGUCCGAUGAGAGUACCAGGCGAAUAAGCAUCGGCUAACUCCGUG
This 486-nucleotide ribosomal RNA is filed under the name uncultured bacterium. RNAcentral describes it as "partial 16S ribosomal RNA". It matches the Rfam family "Bacterial small subunit ribosomal RNA", at positions 28 to 507 of the family's 1533-position model. The record is from RNAcentral.